AAAGGAAUUGACGGGGACCCGCACAAGCAGCGGAGCAUGUGGUUUAAUUCGAAGCAACGCGAAGAACCUUACCAGGGCUUGACAUGACACGGACCGGUGUAGAGAUACACCCUUCUCUUCGGAGACUGUGUCACAGGUGGUGCAUGGUUGUCGUCAGCUCGUGUCGUGAGAUGUUGGGUUAAGUCCCGCAACGAGCGCAACCCCUGUCCUUAGUUACCAGCAUUUAGUUGGGGACUCUAAGGAGACUGCCGGUGAUAAACCGGAGGAAGGUGGGGAUGACGUCAAAUCAUCAUGCCCUUUAUGUCCUGGGCUACACACGUGCUACAAUGGUCGGAAACAAAGCGCAGCAAACUCGUGAGAGUAAGCGAAUCGCAUAAAGUCGAUCUCAGUUCGGAUUGUAGGCUGCAACUCGCCUACAUGAAGUCGGAGUUGCUAGUAAUCGCGAAUCAGAAUGUCGCGGUGAAUGCGUUCCCGGGUCUUGUACACACCGCCCGU
RNAcentral lists this ribosomal RNA (495 nucleotides) under uncultured bacterium. RNAcentral's name for it is "bacterial SSU rRNA". It matches the Rfam family "Bacterial small subunit ribosomal RNA", at positions 903 to 1397 of the family's 1533-position model. The record is from RNAcentral.